This 1351-nucleotide ribosomal RNA is filed under the name uncultured marine eukaryote. Its description in RNAcentral is "SSU rRNA". It matches the Rfam family "Eukaryotic small subunit ribosomal RNA", at positions 411 to 1776 of the family's 1831-position model. The record is from RNAcentral.
CGCAUUAAACGGAGGAGCAGGCGCGCAAUUACCCAAUCCUGACUCAGGGAGGUAGUGACAAGAAAUAACAAUAAACCGGCUUAUGCCGGUUUAAUUGGAAUGAGUACAAUUUAAACAUCUUAACGAGGAACAAUUGGAGGGCAAGUCUGGUGCCAGCAGCCGCGGUAAUUCCAGCUCCAAUAGCGUAUACUAAAGUUGUUGCAGUUAAAAAGCUCGUAGUUGGAUUUCUGUGGGGACGGAGCGGCCGGCCGCACAUCGCGGUUCGAGCUAGCGCUUUCCCUACAUCCUGCCGCGAACCGUGCUACCAUUAGUUUGGUGGCGCCGGGGAUCGGCUCGAUUACUUUGAGAAAAAUAGAGUGUUCAAAGCAGGCCACAUGCCUUGAAUAAGUUAGCAUGGAAUAAUAACUAAGGACUUCGGUUCUAUUUUGUUGGUGUUCGGGACUGAAGUAAUGAUUGAUAGGGACAGUUGGGGCGGUCUGUAUUCCAAAGCGAGAGGUGAAAUUCUUAGACCUUCGGAAGACAAACAGCUGCGAAAGCGUUCCGCAAGGAUGUUCCCUUUGAUCAAGAACGAAAGUUGGGGGAUCGAAGACGAUCAGAUACCGUCGUAGUCUCAACUAUAAACUAUACCAGCUAGGGAUCGGCCAACGUUAUUUUAUACCGACUUGGUCGGCACCUUAUGAGAAAUCAAAGCAUCUGGGUUCCGGGGGGAGUAUGGUCGCAAGGCUGAAACUUAAAGGAAUUGACGGAAGGGCACCACCAGCCGUGGAGCCUGUGGCUUAAUUUGACUCAACACGGGAAAACUUACCAGGUCCAGACAUAGUAAGGAUUGACAGAUUGAUAGCUCUUUCUUGAUUCUGUGGGUGGUGGUGCAUGGCCGUUCUUAGUUGGUGGAGUGAUUUGUCUGGUUAAUUCCGUUAACGAACGAGACCCCAGCCUGCUAAAUAGCGCGCGUGAGCUUUGCUCGCGGCGAGCUUCUUAGAGGGACUAUGAUGCGCGAUAGCACAUGGAAGUUUGGGGCAAUAACAGGUCUGUGAUGCCCUUAGAUGUUCUGGGCCGCACACGGGCUACACUGGCGCCUGCAACGAGCAUAUCAGCUGGCCCGAGAGGGUCUUGGCUAAUCUUUUGAACCGGCGCCGUGCUUGGGAUUGACCUUUGCAAUUGUUGGUCAUGCAACGAGGAAUGCCUUGUAAACGCGAGUCAUCAGCUCGCAUUGAAUACGUCCCUGCCCUUUGUACACACCGCCCGUCGCUCCUACCGAUGAAUGUUCCGAUGAAAUUUUCGGAGAGCACCUGUGAACUUGGCUCUGCCUUGCGAACGGGAGGCUCAAAGUCACAUAAAUCUGAACCUUAGG